This is an RNA transcript of Capsicum annuum, 1978 nucleotides long. It is a transcript of the gene named WAT1-related protein At4g01440, with no coding region annotated. The record is from RefSeq and is a predicted model, not a curated record. NCBI's taxonomy places the organism in Eukaryota, Viridiplantae, Streptophyta, Magnoliopsida, Solanales, Solanaceae. The transcript is spliced from 6 exons.
UGCUGGGGGUCUAUCGAAAACAGCCUCUCUACUUCACAUGAGGUAGUGGUAUGGACUGCGUACACUCUACCCUCCCCAGACCCCACUAGGUGGGAAUACAUCGGGUAUGUUAUUGUUGUUGUUGCUAGUAGUCGUAGUAUUGCCGGGGGUCUUAUCGGAAACAGACUCUCUACUUCACCUGAGGUAGUGGUAUGGACUGCGUACACUCUACCCUCCACAGACCCCACUAGGUGGGAAUACAUUGGGUAUGUUGUUGUUGUUGUUGCUAGUAGUCGUAGUAUUACUCUUUUCGAUUUCUGUUAUUGUUUCGUGUAGGUUGAUUAUAGUAUUAUUUUGGUGUAGUGUGGUUCCGCUACUAUCUGUUGUUUUACUACUGCCUGUUUUUACUUUUUCUUUCUGGUACUUCCUUUUCUAGACUGCUUUUAUCUUGAGCCUUCUCCGGAAACAGUUGCUGUACCUUCUCCGGACCCUACUUUGUGAGACUACGCUACCUGUCAAACAUACAGUAUCAUACUGUAUGUUGAUGACAAUAUUGUUAGCGCGAUAAAAGAUUCUGAUACGGUUAUCAUCUGUUGUAACGUAUCAAUGAAAAGUAAGGAGAAAAGGGAAAUAGUUCAAUCGUUCGAGUAAAAAGAAAGAGUAUACUUAGGUUAAACUAAUGUCAAAAUCUGUUGAGUUACUUUAAAAAACUGAUUUGAUUGCCCGAAUUUCAUCUGUCUUCUCUUAACACUCCCUUUUUCGUGUUAACAACAGUUCUAAAAACAGACUUUAAAUAUCUGUCUUUUACCUCAGUUUCGUCUUGAAAAACAAAGAGUAGUUCACUGAGAGAUGAAGAGCUAUGCGGAAUGGUAUCCUAUCGUUGUUAUGUUGGUGAUUGAUUUUGCUUUCGCGAUUGGUAAUAUACUUCUCAAGAAGAUUAUCAUGGAUGGUAUGAACCAUUUCGUGUUCAUCACUUAUCGACAGUCCAUUUCAAGCUUGUUUUUAGCCCCAAUCGCCUUCUUUCUUGAAAGGAAUACGAGGCCUAAACUCACACCGCAAAUCUUGUGCUAUCUUUUCUUGAGUGCAAUCGUUGGGGCAUCUCUUACGCAGUACUUAUUCCUUCUUGGCAUACAAUACACUUCUGCAACAUUUGCAUGUGCAUUUCUCAACAUGGUUCCAGUGAUAACAUUCCUUAUGGCAUUGCUUUUCGGGUUAGAGGCAUUUAACAUAAAGGACAGAAGCGGCCGAGCCAAAGUUAUCGGUACAUUAAUAUGCCUCGGAGGUGCCUUCUUACUGACUUUUUACAAAGGCAUACCUUUAAUCCAUUUUUCACACGUACAAGAUUUAUCGCGAACUGUGGAAGAACCUAUCAGUUCCUCUAAAAGAAACGAACAAUGGAUGUUUGGCUCAAUGAUCUUAUUCGCUGGAACGCUUUUGUGGUCCUCGUGGUUCCUUCUGCAAUCGAAAAUUGCUAAGAAAUAUCCAUGUCAGUACUCGAGUACGGUUAUUAUGACCUUCUUCAGUGCCAUACAAUCAGCUAUCUUAACUUUGUCCACUGAUAGAAGACUUUCCAUUUGGAUUCCAAACGAAAAGACCAUCGACAUGUUAAGUGUCGUUUAUACUCAACUACAACUACUACUACGCUGCAGUCUCAAACAAGUUGGAGUCAGCAACUUUUUGUUGUUCAUUGGACAUGCUAAAAUGUGUCCUAGUUAUCAAUCAGUGUCCAUCGAUAUCAUAACAUAUGUCAGAAUCCUUAGGAUGAAGCUUUGCCCAAGUCGAAAAAUUUAGUCCUUUUUCUGAAGCGAAACUACAGGAUGAAUAACAAGUCACUUCAAAGUUACUAUACGAUGAAUGGGCUUAGUUGGUUCAGGGUUGUGCUUCGUUGGAAUGUCGUGGUGUGUUAAGAAGAGGGGACCGGUCUUUACUGCAGCAUUCAGUCCUCUUAUACAAGUUAUGGCAGCCAUGUUAGACGUUCCACUUCUACACGAGCAACUCA